Molecule: ribosomal RNA, 253 nt
Filed under: uncultured bacterium
Lineage: Bacteria
Description: partial 16S ribosomal RNA
Rfam family: Bacterial small subunit ribosomal RNA
Source: RNAcentral
UACAGAGGUCUCAAGCGUUGUUCGGUAUUACUGGGCGUAAAGGGUGCGCAGGCCGCGCGGGCAGUCAAAUGUGUAAUCCAGGGGCUCAACCCCUGAACUGCGCUUGAUACUUCCGCGCUCGAGCUUUGGAGAGGAGUCUGGAAUUCUCGGUGUAGCAGUGAAAUGCGUGGAUAUCGAGAAGAACACUUAGGGCGUAGGCAAGACUCUGGACAAAUGCUGACGCUCAUGCACGAAGGCUAGGGUAGCGAACGGG